This 166-nucleotide ribosomal RNA is filed under the name Herpotrichiellaceae sp. RNAcentral's name for it is "partial large subunit ribosomal RNA". It matches the Rfam family "Eukaryotic large subunit ribosomal RNA", at positions 99 to 261 of the family's 3401-position model. Lineage: Eukaryota; Fungi; Ascomycota; Eurotiomycetes; Chaetothyriales; Herpotrichiellaceae. The record is from RNAcentral.
CGGGAAGAGCUCAAAUUUAAAAUCUGGCGGUGUAUUCCGUCCGAGUUGUAAUUUGUAGAGGAUGUUUCGGAUAAGGCUUUGGUUUAAGUUUCUUGGAACAGAACGUCAUAGAGGGUGAGAAUCCCGUCUAGAACCGAUAGCCACGUUCAUGUGAAACUCCUUCGAC